This 310-nucleotide ribosomal RNA is filed under the name uncultured bacterium. RNAcentral describes it as "bacterial SSU rRNA". It matches the Rfam family "Bacterial small subunit ribosomal RNA", at positions 490 to 793 of the family's 1533-position model. The record is from RNAcentral.
GCACCGGCUAACUCCGUGCCAGCAGCCGCGGUAAUACGGAGGGUGCGAGCGUUAAUCGGAAUUACUGGGCGUAAAGCGCAUGCAGGUGGUUUGUUAAGUCAGAUGUGAAAGACCCGGGGCGUCAACCUCGGAAUUGCAUUUGAAACUAGGCAGACUAGAGUACUGUAGAGGGGGGUAGGAAUUUCAGGUGUAGCGGUGAAAAUGCGUAGAGAUCUGAAGGAAUACCGGUGGCGAAGGCGGCCCCCUCGGACAGAUACUGACACUCAGAUGCGAAAGCGUGGGGAGCAAACAGGAUUAGAUACCCUGGUAG